GAUUGAUGCUUUAAAAGGGAAUUCGGUGUAAUACCGAAGCUGUACCCGCAGCCGUAUGUUUCAUCUAUCCAAUAUUGAGUAUAGAGCCACUGAUGGCAGUUAGAGCAUUCUUGUUUGAGCUGUUUUUGGGAAGGUUUCAAUUAUUGGGAAACGAGCCGGAAGACCUGCCAUCAAAUCAA
Molecule: non-coding RNA, 179 nt
Filed under: uncultured Parabacteroides sp.
Lineage: Bacteria; Pseudomonadati; Bacteroidota; Bacteroidia; Bacteroidales; Tannerellaceae
Source: RNAcentral